UUGUUUACCAAAAACAUCACCUCCAGCAUUCCCAGUAUUGGAGGCAUUGCCUGCCCAGUGACAACCGUUUAACGGCCGCGGUAUCCUGACCGUGCAAAGGUAGCAUAAUCAUUUGUUCUCUAAAUAAGGACUUGUAUGAAUGGCCGCACGAGGGUUUUACUGUCUCUUACUUCCAAUCAGUGAAAUUGACCUUCCCGGAAGAGGCGGAAUGCACCAUGGACG
This 222-nucleotide ribosomal RNA is filed under the name Bubalus bubalis (water buffalo). Its description in RNAcentral is "partial large subunit ribosomal RNA". It matches the Rfam family "Archaeal large subunit ribosomal RNA", at positions 1892 to 2156 of the family's 2987-position model. The record is from RNAcentral. Lineage: Eukaryota; Metazoa; Chordata; Mammalia; Artiodactyla; Bovidae.